This 274-nucleotide ribosomal RNA is filed under the name uncultured bacterium. RNAcentral describes it as "partial 16S ribosomal RNA". It matches the Rfam family "Bacterial small subunit ribosomal RNA", at positions 523 to 796 of the family's 1533-position model. The record is from RNAcentral.
AUACGGAGGGUGCAAGCGUUACUCGGAAUCACAGGGCGUAAAGCGCGCGCAGGCGGCUAUUUAAGUUGGAUGUGAAAGCCUACGGCUCAACCGUAGAACUGCAUCCAAAACUAUUUAGCUAGAGUGUGGGAGAGGAAGAUGGAAUUAGUUGUGUAGGGGUAAAAUCCGUAGAGAUAACUAGGAAUACCAAAAGCGAAGGCAAUCUUCUGGAACACUACUGACGCUGAGGCGCGAAAGCGUGGGGAGCAAACGGGAUUAGAUACCCUAGUAGUCC